CCUACGGGGGGCUGCAGUGGGGAAUAUUGGACAAUGGGGGGAACCCUGAUCCAGCCAUGCCGCGUGUGUGAAGAAGGCCCUCGGGUUGUAAAGCACUUUCAGUGAGGAAGAACGCCUGGUGGUUAAUACCCAUCAGGAAAGACAUCACUCACAGAAGAAGCACCGGCUAACUCCGUGCCAGCAGCCGCGGUAAUACGGAGGGUGCGAGCGUUAAUCGGAAUUACUGGGCGUAAAGCGCGCGUAGGUGGCUUGAUAAGCCGGUUGUGAAAGCCCCGGGCUCAACCUGGGAACGGCAUCCGGAACUGUCAAGCUAGAGUGUAGGAGAGGAAGGUAGAAUUCCCGGUGUAGCGGUGAAAUGCGUAGAGAUCGGGAGGAAUACCAGUGGCGAAGGCGGCCUUCUGGACUGACACUGACACUGAGGUGCGAAAGCGUGGGUAGCAAACAGGAUUAGAUACCCGAGUAGUC
Molecule: ribosomal RNA, 465 nt
Filed under: Vreelandella stevensii
Lineage: Bacteria; Pseudomonadati; Pseudomonadota; Gammaproteobacteria; Oceanospirillales; Halomonadaceae
Description: partial 16S ribosomal RNA
Rfam family: Bacterial small subunit ribosomal RNA
Source: RNAcentral